AGCGGAUCGACGCCUCAGGUAUCUGUUACUCCUGGUGGGCGCUGGAAUAGAUUUAAAACCUACUCCACAAUUCAAAGAACCGUGGAAAUAUGGGGUUCUGUUUUUACUUUUAUUUUUAAGGUUUGGCUCAACAACCAGAAGUUCUCGUAUCGAGGAGGAAUGACAGAAGAGAAAAAAGUUCUAAGAAGGAAAUCCCUUGCUAAGUGGUUAAAGG
This 214-nucleotide unclassified non-coding RNA is filed under the name Hevea brasiliensis (rubber tree). Lineage: Eukaryota; Viridiplantae; Streptophyta; Magnoliopsida; Malpighiales; Euphorbiaceae. The record is from RNAcentral.